UACGGGGGGAGCAAGCGUUGUUCGGAUUUACUGGGCGUAAAGGGCGCGUAGGCGGCCAGCACAAGUCAGUUGUGGAAUCUCCGAGCUUAACUCGGAAAGGUCAACUGAUACUGUGCGGCUAGAGUGCGGAAGGGGCAACUGGAAUUCUUGGUGUAGCGGUGAGAUGCGUAGAUAUCAAGAGGAACACCUGCGGCGAAGGCGGGUUGCUGGGCCGACACUGACGCUGAGGCGCGAAAGCCAGGGGAGCGAACGGG
Molecule: ribosomal RNA, 254 nt
Filed under: uncultured bacterium
Lineage: Bacteria
Description: partial 16S ribosomal RNA
Rfam family: Bacterial small subunit ribosomal RNA
Source: RNAcentral